This 844-nucleotide unclassified non-coding RNA is filed under the name Thrips palmi. RNAcentral describes it as "zinc finger protein 219-like, transcript variant X2". Lineage: Eukaryota; Metazoa; Arthropoda; Insecta; Thysanoptera; Thripidae. The record is from RNAcentral.
UGGAGCUUCCCUGAGGCUAUCGGCCAAGGCCUCGACCAGGGCACCUUCAUCGCUGGCCAGUGGUGCCGGUGGUGCUGUGUGCAGCUCAUCGAGGCUUCCGGGCCACGGAAGAGAGGUCGGCCCUCCCGGUCUGCUUGGUCCCAGUGCAAGGCCGUCGGCGGGGAGAAGCCGAGAGGCUGGGUCUCGAGCACAUGUGACGGCUGUCAGACGUGAAGGAAGCAGGGAAGCAAGCUCAAAACCGAAUGUGUCAGACAGGCUAGGAGUGGGGGUGGGGGUGGGGGUUCGGAGGAUUCGGCGGCGGAGCGGGAGCGGUGGCUGCGGUUGGCGGGAUGCGCGCGCUGCCGCAGCUCCCCCCUCCCCUCCCCGCUUCCCCACUCCGCUUCCGCAUGCUUGUUUACCUACCCGUGGGCGACAUAACCUUGUCGCGUGUUCUUGCCGGCUCUGAGUUUUUAUCGCGUCGCGGAGUGCAGUGGUGAUUCUGUUGGUGUGAAGCAGUGUGAAGUGUCUAGUGCAGUUCGUUGUGAUCAUGUGCAAGUGUUUCCAUGGCCUGUGACGCGCUGCAAGCGCGGCCAGCCCCCCGAGUGUCUCGAGUGUCAGUGCGUGUGUGUAUGUCAUGGGGUUACUCCAGUCGCUCAAGUCGCCUGGGAGGCUCUCGUUUCCUCAUCGAUAUGUUCUGGAAGUCAUGGAUUAGCGUGUGAGUCCCUGGUGUCUCCGGCCUGCGGUCAUUGCUGCUGGUGCCGUCGACGGGGCUGCCGGCGGGUCUGCCGACCGGGCCGCUGUUCCAGUGCCCCGUGUGCGCCAAGUUCCUGUCGUCCAAGCACUCCCUCAAGGAGCACGCGCGCAC